CGGCAGCACAGGUACAACUUCCCCAAAGUUGCUCCUCACUUUCUUAACACAGUUGAGUUGAGCGUCAAGCCGGUGCGAGAGCAAACGCCGAGGACGUCUAAGCUCCCUUCGUCUCUCCUUCCUUAGGGUAUCGUUCUGGUGAACGGUGUGGAGGAGACGAGGGACGGUGGUCCAUACAUUUAUUCUUUGCUGUAGAUAUUUCCGACUAAUCAGCACUCAAGCAUUGUCAUUAUCCAUU
Molecule: small RNA, 238 nt
Filed under: Cryptococcus neoformans H99
Lineage: Eukaryota; Fungi; Basidiomycota; Tremellomycetes; Tremellales; Cryptococcaceae
Description: Cryptococcus neoformans var. grubii H99 hypothetical RNA
Source: RNAcentral